CAAUAGCGUAUAUUAAAGUUGUUGCAGUUAAAAAGCUCGUAGUUGGAUUUCGGGACGGGCCAGUUGGUCCGCCGCAAGGUGUGUUACUGACUGGUCUGUUCUUCUUCGCAAAGACUGCGUGUGCUCUUCGUUGAGUGUGCGUAGGAUUUACGACGUUUACUUUGAAAAAAUUAGAGUGUUCAAAGCAGGCUAUCGCUUGAAUACAUGAGCAUGGAAUAAUGGAAUAGGACUUUGGUCCUAUUUUGUUGGUUUCUAGGACCGAAGUGAUGAUUAAGAGGGACAAUUGGGGGCAUCCGUAUUUCGUUGUCAGAGGUGAAAUUCUUGGAUUUACGAAAGACGAACAACUGCGAAAGCACUUGCCAAGAGUGUUUUCAUUAA
Molecule: ribosomal RNA, 378 nt
Filed under: uncultured eukaryote
Lineage: Eukaryota
Description: partial 18S ribosomal RNA
Rfam family: Eukaryotic small subunit ribosomal RNA
Source: RNAcentral